UACGUAGGGUGCAAGCGUUAAUCGGAAUUACUGGGCGUAAAGCGUGCGCGGGCGGUUUUGUAAGACAGAGGUGAAAUCCCCGGGCUCAACCUGGGAACUGCCUUUGUGACUGCAAGGCUUGAGUGCGGCAGAGGGGGAUGGAAUUCCGCGUGUAGCAGUGAAAUGCGUAGAUAUGCGGAGGAACACCGAUGGCGAAGGCAAUCCCCUGGGCCUGCACUGACGCUCAUGCACGAAAGCGUGGGGAGCAAACAGG
Molecule: ribosomal RNA, 253 nt
Filed under: uncultured bacterium
Lineage: Bacteria
Description: partial 16S ribosomal RNA
Rfam family: Bacterial small subunit ribosomal RNA
Source: RNAcentral